Molecule: ribosomal RNA, 411 nt
Filed under: uncultured bacterium
Lineage: Bacteria
Description: partial 16S ribosomal RNA
Rfam family: Bacterial small subunit ribosomal RNA
Source: RNAcentral
UGGGGAAUUUUGGACAAUGGGGGCAACCCUGAUCCAGCAAUGCCGCGUGUGUGAAGAAGGCCUUCGGGUUGUAAAGCACUUUUGUCCGGAAAGAAAACGCCGUGGUUAAUACCCGUGCGGAUGACGGUACCGGAAGAAUAAGCACCGGCUAACUACGUGCCAGCAGCCGCGGUAAUACGUAGGGUGCAAGCGUUAAUCGGAAUUACUGGGCGUAAAGCGUGCGCAGGCGGUCCGCUAAGACAGAUGUGAAAUCCCCCGGGCUUAACCUGGGAACUGCAUUUGUGACUGGCGGGCUAGAGUAUGGCAGAGGGGGGUAAAUUCCACGUGUAGCAGUGAAAUGCGUGAGAUGUGGAGGAAUACCGAUGCGAAGGCAGCCCCUGGGCCAAUACUGACGCUCAUGCACGAAAGCGU